This 184-nucleotide small RNA is filed under the name Marmota monax (woodchuck). The record is from RNAcentral. Lineage: Eukaryota; Metazoa; Chordata; Mammalia; Rodentia; Sciuridae.
GCCGGGUGUGGUGGUGCACGCUUGUAAUCUUGGCUAUUAGGGAGGCUGAGGCAGGAGGAUCAAAAACUUGUGAAUCACACCUGUCAUCCCAGCAGCUCAGGAGGCUGAGGCAGGAGGAUCAAAAGUUCAAAGCCAGCCUCAGCAAAAGCAAGGUGCUAAGCAACUCAGUGAGACCCUGUCUCUA